Molecule: unclassified non-coding RNA, 929 nt
Filed under: Anthoxanthum tongo
Lineage: Eukaryota; Viridiplantae; Streptophyta; Magnoliopsida; Poales; Poaceae
Description: partial external transcribed spacer
Source: RNAcentral
GCAUAUGACUACUGGCAGGAUCAACCAGGUAGCACGUCCUCUUUGACAUCCAGCGUCGGUAGUUGCCCACCCGUCCACUUGCGUGGCAAGGCAGAGCCAACUACCGAGCUAGUUGUCGUAAUUGAGCGGGCCUAGCUCGUCCGACUUAUGAGGAUCGGCACAGUAUGUUGCGUAAUCCUACCACUAACUGUGGAGAGGUAGAGGCAACACAUGUUCCGGUUGUUCUCAAAUUCGGAGAGACUAGCUCGUCCGACUUAUGAGGAUCGGCACAGUAUGUUGCGUAAUCCUACCACUAACUGUGGAGAGGUAGAGGCAACACAUGUUCCGGUUGUUCUCAAAUUCGGAGAGACUAGCUCGUCCGACUUAUGAGGAUCGGCACAGUAUGUUGCGUAAUCCUACCACUAACUGUGGAGAGGUAGAGGCAACACAUGUUCCGGUUGUUCUCAACUUCGGAGAGCGUCCCGUCCUACUUGUAUGAGGAUCGGCACAGUAUGUUGCGUAAUCCUACCACUAACUGUGGAGAGGUAGAGGCAACACAUGUUCCGGUUGUUCUCAAAUUCGUAGAACGUUGUUAGGGUCAGGCCGAGGCAACCAAAAAGGGCCACGAGCCUAUAUCAUGAGCAACAUCCAAAACCAACAGCGAGAGCGAGGCUGCCUUGAUAGUACCAAGCACGGAAACAUGCCGGACCAAGAGGAAACGCCGCAAACGCCAUAUGGCCGCAGUAGAACACCCAAAGGCGUCCACCGCGAGUCAACUUUGUAUGAAGCACCACUGCCCGUAGGUCGGGUAACAUCACGCAAGCACCCGAAAGCAAACUGUAAGAUAUCCCACACGAAUGAGAAGACACGGCGCCAAUAGUCGGCCGCACAAAGACGGGGGAACUACCAGCAGACACGGGUCCAAAACAGCUCAUGCGCUCGCGUAGCCA